CGAGAAAGCCCGCAAGGGUGAGUACAGCGGCGCACGGGUGCGUAACACGUGAGUAAUCUGCCCUGGAGCCCGGAAUAACCUCCCGAAAGGGAAGCUAAUGCCGGAUGAGCCCACGGGGUCCUUGGACCCUGAGGGAAAAGGCGGCCUCUGUAUACAAGCUGUCACUUCAGGAUGAGUUCGCGGCCCAUCAGCUAGUUGGCGGGGUAAUGGCCCACCAAGGCAACGACGGGUAGCUGGUCUGAGAGGACGAUCAGCCACACUGGAACUGAGACACGGUCCAGACUCCUACGGGAGGCAGCAGUGGGGAAUCUUGCGCAAUGGGCGAAAGCCUGACGCAGCAACGCCGCGUGUGUGAUGAAGGUCUUCGGAUCGUAAAGCACUGUCGCGAGGGACG
Molecule: ribosomal RNA, 394 nt
Filed under: uncultured Anaeromyxobacter sp.
Lineage: Bacteria; Pseudomonadati; Myxococcota; Myxococcia; Myxococcales; Anaeromyxobacteraceae
Description: bacterial SSU rRNA
Rfam family: Bacterial small subunit ribosomal RNA
Source: RNAcentral